CUUUGAUCAUUCUAUUUCUGUUGGGACUUCGUUGCAAUUUUAAGCGCAAUUAUUUACAUUGUUGUACCUUGCUAGGAAAACCAUUGUUGAGCUGCAACAAUUGCAGGAGCAUGCACGCUUCAAAUUCGGGUUGGGUGCGGUCACAAUCCUACGACCGCACUCAGUCACUCGCAUCUCGACCGUCCAGUCAAGAUUGAAUAGACUAGAUUUUAAGUAUGAUAUUUUAGUUUUAAAAAAGAAUCAAAAUCUGCUUUAAAAUCUUAACCAUCAAAUCUUGAUUGGGCGACCAGAUGCGUGUGACUGCAUGCAAUUCCACUGCAUCCAAUUUAAAUCCACACGCUUAAUAUAAAAUACCAAAUACAGGUUGCCAACCUUCCUUCUCCUUUCAUGACCUAUCAAAAAACAAAGAAAAUUCUUUAUUUAAUUGGUCAUGAAUAUCUGAAUAGGACAAACCAUCCCGUGGAUCUCUUUGUUACAUUGUUAGUGGAGCUUAAAUUGUUGCUAAAUCAGAUCCUGAUAAAAAAAAUGGGAAGCAGGAGCAAUAAUAUAGGUUAUUGAAAUCUAAAGGUACGUACAAGCCAUUAAAAUCAGCUUGUUGGUUUUGAGUGUGUGUACAAUAGAACAAAUUGACAAUACAUAACUAACUGUUGAUUAGUGUGAUAUGACUCUGAUGAGCUUAAUUUGAUUGAAAGUAAUAUAUACUUGAUAUCUUAUUUCAAGAAAAAUUGAUCAA
Non-coding RNA from Cicer arietinum (chickpea), 733 nucleotides. Lineage: Eukaryota; Viridiplantae; Streptophyta; Magnoliopsida; Fabales; Fabaceae. The record is from RefSeq and is a predicted model, not a curated record.